UUCGUAUCGUCUCUUGUCGAAAUAAACUUUUUCUAAACACAUCUUUCGCCUUUUACUAAAGAUUACCGUGGGGAGGGACACUCCAAUGAGCCUAUAGGCCAAUUUCUGAGAGGCCUUGCCCGUUUGGGCAGGGC
Dermacentor andersoni is the source of this 134-nucleotide non-coding RNA. The record is from RefSeq and is a predicted model, not a curated record. Lineage: Eukaryota; Metazoa; Arthropoda; Arachnida; Ixodida; Ixodidae.